UGAGAAACCCGAAAGAUCGAAUGAAGAGAUUCAUCGUUAAUGUGAUUGGCUACCAUGUGGUAUACGAUGAGUUGAAAUUUAUUUUAACUUACGUUACUGCUGUGGUUGUGUCCAGUUACGUCGGCGUGCACUUCUCUUCUAGUAGAACGUCGCGACCCGCUGUGUGUCGUUUUAAGGACCAAGAUUGUCGACUAUACCGUCGCUUUUGGUGUUAUGUGUAUAGACACUUGGAUUUCCAAUCGACUGCUUGGCGGUAUAUUUAAAGGUAUUGAGCCGCACUUGAAUGCGUUCAGACUUGUUGCAAGCUCGAUCAUAUGCCUGGAGUGCGGACCUAGUGCCGUCCUGGGGAAUGAUUAGCUGUUGGUUAUAACAAUGUUCUCGAACUGGCUUAAUAUGCAAUACAGCAAUACCAGUCAGCGACGCUAUUGCUUUGGGUACUUUCAGGACCCGUCUUGAAACACGGACCAAGGAGUCUAACAUGUACGCGAGUCAUUGGGAUUUAGUAAAACCUAAAGGCAUAUUGAAAGAGAAGAUCGGUCUUGUGCCGAUUAAGGGAGGAUAAGCUAAGAAAUAUAGCUUCGCACUCCCGGGGCGUCUCUUAAAGUCAUUGCGACUUGAGGUGCACCCAGAGCGUACACGUUGGGACCCGAAAGAUGGUGAACUAUGCCUGGUCAGGAUGAAGUCAGGGGAAACCCUGAUGGAGGUCCGUAGCGUAUCUGACGUGCAAAUCGAUCGUCGGAACUGGGUAUAGGGG
This 754-nucleotide ribosomal RNA is filed under the name Hadronotus bicolor. RNAcentral describes it as "Gryon bicolor partial large subunit ribosomal RNA". It matches the Rfam family "Eukaryotic large subunit ribosomal RNA", at positions 386 to 923 of the family's 3401-position model. Lineage: Eukaryota; Metazoa; Arthropoda; Insecta; Hymenoptera; Scelionidae. The record is from RNAcentral.